RNAcentral lists this transfer RNA (75 nucleotides) under Escherichia coli. RNAcentral's name for it is "tRNA-Thr". It matches the Rfam family "tRNA". From Rfam's summary of the family: Transfer RNA (tRNA) molecules are approximately 80 nucleotides in length. The record is from RNAcentral. Lineage: Bacteria; Pseudomonadati; Pseudomonadota; Gammaproteobacteria; Enterobacterales; Enterobacteriaceae.
GCCGGCGUAGCACAGCGGCAGUGCAGGGUUUUUGUAAAGCUCAGGUCGGGAGUUCGAUCCUCUCCGCCGGCACCA